Molecule: ribosomal RNA, 439 nt
Filed under: uncultured bacterium
Lineage: Bacteria
Description: bacterial SSU rRNA
Rfam family: Bacterial small subunit ribosomal RNA
Source: RNAcentral
GUGAACGCUGGUAACGUGGAUAAGGCAUGCAAGUCAAGCGGACCCGCAAGGGUCAGCGGCGAACGGGUUAGUAACACGUGGGUAUCAACCCUAAAGACGGGCAUAACCAGUCGAAAGAUUGGCUAAUUCCCGAUAGUCCCGCAAGGGUAAAGCAGUAAUGCACUUUAGGAUGAGCCUGCGGCCUAUCAGCUUGUUGGUGAGGUAAUAGCUCACCAAGGCUAUGACGGGUAGGGGGCGUGAGAGCGUGUUCCCCAACAAUGGCACUGCGACACGGGCCAUACUCCUACGGGAGGCUGCAGUCGAGAAUCUUCCACAAUGGGCGAAAGCCUGAUGGAGCGACGUUACGUGAAUGAUGAAAUUCUUCGGAAUGUAAAGUUCUUUUCUCUGGGAGGAACCGCAAGGUGACAGUACCAGAGGAAUAAGGAGAUCCUAAUUCUGU